GAUGAACGCUGGCGGCGUGCCUAAUACAUGCAAGUCGAGCGAACAGACGAGGAGCUUGCUCCUCUGACGUUAGCGGCGGACGGGUGAGUAACACGUGGAUAACCUACCUAUAAGACUGGGAUAACUUCGGGAAACCGGAGCUAAUACCGGAUAACAUGUUGAACCGCAUGGUUCAACAGUGAAAGACGGUCUUGCUGUCACUUAUAGAUGGAUCCGCGCCGCAUUAGCUAGUUGGUAAGGUAACGGCUUACCAAGGCAACGAUGCGUAGCCGACCUGAGAGGGUGAUCGGCCACACUGGAACUGAGACACGGUCCAGACUCCUACGGGAGGCAGCAGUAGGGAAUCUUCCGCAAUGGGCGAAAGCCUGACGGAGCAACGCCGCGUGAGUGACGAAGGUCUUCGGAUCGUAAAACUCUGUUAUUAGGGAAGAACAAAUGUGUAAGUAACUAUGCACGUCUUGACGGUACCUAAUCAGAAAGCCACGGCUAACUACGUGC
Molecule: ribosomal RNA, 498 nt
Filed under: uncultured bacterium
Lineage: Bacteria
Description: partial 16S ribosomal RNA
Rfam family: Bacterial small subunit ribosomal RNA
Source: RNAcentral